AACACUGGCGGCGUGGAUUAGCCAUGCAAGUCGAACGAGAAAGCUCCCUUCGGGGAGUGAGUAUAGUGGCGAACGGGUGAGUAACGCGUGGGAAACCUGCCCCUCAGUGGGGGAUAACAGUUCUAACGGACUGCUAAUACCGCAUGUCGCCUUGCGAUCACAUGAUCGAAAGGUGAAAGGUGGCCUCUACAUGUAAGCUGCCGCUGAGGGAUGGUCCCGCGUCCCAUUAGCUUGUUGGUAGGGUAAUGGCCUACCAAGGCGACGAUGGGUAGCCGGCCUGAGAGGGUGUCCGGCCGCACUGGGACUGAGAUACGGCCCAGACUCCCUACGGAGGCAGCAGUCGAGAAG
Molecule: ribosomal RNA, 348 nt
Filed under: unidentified eubacterium clone EH-22
Lineage: Bacteria
Description: bacterial SSU rRNA
Rfam family: Bacterial small subunit ribosomal RNA
Source: RNAcentral